Molecule: non-coding RNA, 88 nt
Organism: Acanthosepion pharaonis
Lineage: Eukaryota; Metazoa; Mollusca; Cephalopoda; Sepiida; Sepiidae
Source: the annotation of a GenBank genome assembly
UGAAAAACCAGUUCCCGUACGAUCAACGAAGUUAAGCAACAUCGAGCCUGAUCAAUACCUUGAUGGGUGAGCGUUUCGGAAUACAAGG